Molecule: ribosomal RNA, 253 nt
Filed under: uncultured bacterium
Lineage: Bacteria
Description: partial 16S ribosomal RNA
Rfam family: Bacterial small subunit ribosomal RNA
Source: RNAcentral
UACAGAGGUGGCAAGCGUUGUUCGGAAUUACUGGGCGUAAAGCGCACGUAGGCGGCUUGGUAUGUCGGGUGUGAAAUCCCCGGGCUCAACCUGGGAACUGCAUCCGAAACUGCCUUGCUCGAGUAUGGGAGAGGGAAGUGGAAUUUCCGGUGUAGCGGUGAAAUGCGUAGAUAUCGGAAGGAACAUCAGUGGCGAAGGCGACUUCCUGGACCAAUACUGACGCUCAGGUGCGAAAGCGUGGGGAGCAAACAGG